This 462-nucleotide ribosomal RNA is filed under the name uncultured bacterium. RNAcentral describes it as "partial 16S ribosomal RNA". It matches the Rfam family "Bacterial small subunit ribosomal RNA", at positions 29 to 507 of the family's 1533-position model. The record is from RNAcentral.
AACAAACGCUGGCGGCGUGCCUAAUACAUGCAAGUCGAACGGGGAAAGCUUUCGGGUGAGUACUAGUGGCGCACGGGUGAGGAACGCGUGGAUAAUCUGCCUUAGAGUGGGGGAUAACUAGUCGAAAGAUUAGCUAAUACCGCAUAAGACCACGAGAGCUGCGGCUUUUGAGGUCAAAGGUUUUUCGCUCUAAGAUGAGUCCGCGUAAGAUUAGCUAGUUGGUGAGGUAACGGCUCACCAAGGCGACGAUCUAUAACUGGUCUGAGAGGAUGAUCAGUCACACUGGCACUGAGACGCGGUCCAGACUCCUACGGGAGGCAGCAGUAGGGAAUAUUGCACCAUGGCGGAAACUCUGAUGCAGCGACGCCGCGUGAGUGAUGAAGGCCUUCGGGUCGUAAAGCUCUGUCGCAGGGGAAUAACACAAUGAAGGUACCCUGUAAGAAAGGAUCGGCUAACUUCGUG